CUACGGGGGGCAGCAGUGGGGAAUAUUGGACAAUGGGCCACAAGCCUGAUCCAGCAAUUCUGUGUGCACGAUGAAGGUCUUCGGAUUGUAAAGUGCUUUCAGUUGGGAAGAAGAAAGUGACGGUACCAACAGAAGAAGCGACGGCUAAAUACGUGCCAGCAGCCGCGGUAAUACGUAUGUCGCAAGCGUUAUCCGGAUUUAUUGGGCGUAAAGCGCGUCUAGGCGGAAAAAUAAGUCUGAUGUUAAAAUGCGGGGCUCAACUCCGUAUUGCGUUGGAAACUGUUUUUCUAGAGUAUUGGAGAGGUGGGCGGAACUACAAGUGUAGAGGUGACAUUCGUAGAUAUUUGUAGGAAUGCCGAUGGAGAAGUCAGCUCACUGGACAGAUACUGACGCUAAAGCGCGAAAGCGUGGGGAGCAAACAGGAUUAGAUACCCUGGUAGUC
RNAcentral lists this ribosomal RNA (442 nucleotides) under uncultured bacterium. RNAcentral describes it as "partial 16S ribosomal RNA". It matches the Rfam family "Bacterial small subunit ribosomal RNA", at positions 339 to 795 of the family's 1533-position model. The record is from RNAcentral.